Molecule: long non-coding RNA, 2543 nt
Organism: Hemicordylus capensis (graceful crag lizard)
Lineage: Eukaryota; Metazoa; Chordata; Lepidosauria; Squamata; Cordylidae
Exons: 5
Source: RefSeq, a predicted model, not a curated record
UUGCCGAGGCAGCCCGGCGAACGAGCGGAGAGAAUUCCGACGCCGAAGGGGGCGGGGCCAGAAGGAGGGGAUUGGAGAAAGUGGCAGUUAGAACAACCGCCGGAGGAGCUCGAGCGAAAGAUAACUGAUGGGAGCGAAACAGCCAAUCAGAAAAUGGAUGUUCCCGCCCCCCCCAUAAUAGCUUAGAAGGGGCGGGCUCCGGGAGACCGCAGGGACCAAGCGAGUGACACCCUAAUUGCCCAACGCUAGAGGGGGGGGGGUGGCUUUCCUUGCGCGGGAAGCGAAAGGCGAUUGGGUCUUGCGCAGAGGGGGCGGGACGAGUGAGCAGCCAAUUCGGAGUGAUUUGGCAACCCGGGCUUGGCGUUGCGUGUUUGCGAAGAGUUUUGUUUCGAAGCUGCGGCUUUUCGCGGGUGGUGAGUUUGGCUCAGGUGAAGAAGAGCUUGGAGGAAGUGUCCCACGUGGGGCUGUGCACCACUUGCGAUGCUACCGGUUUGCGUUUCCUCACUUCUGCAGCGCUUUCCUCUUCAGCAUGUUCAUUCGUAAGGCAGUCCUAUUGUUUUCAGGAGAGGUUACCCUCAAGUAAUUGUGGAUCGGAGUUUAGCGGGCUGCAUCCUCUCGACGCUUAUACAAUCCUGCGCGCAAAACCUACCGCCUUAAAAUGGAAGCCCCGCUGUAUGUUUUCAAGUCAACUCAGGAUUAUAGCUUUCUCAGCUGCAACUCAACUAUUUGGAGCUAACCCAGCUAUUUAGAGCCAAAUAAAUAAUAGCUAACCCAGCUAUUUAGAGCCAAAGCGUAUGCGUGCCUACUUAGAAGUAAAUCCCACUAAGUUCAGCGGGACUCACUCCCAGAUAUUAAAAGAACUCAGCCAGAUAAAAAAAAGUCAAGAUACCAAACCUCAGCUGACUGGAAAGAUAGCAUACAGUUACAGAUUGCAUCCUGAUUAAUAACAAGGGAGAAAAAAGUGUAGAAUGGGAGGAGUAUUUCCUCGUGAUAACUGAACAUAAAUUUGUUGAUGUAUGCCAGAAUCAGUGUCGUACUUUGUAAAGAACAAGGGAGAAGGCAUAUUUCCCUAAACGCCUGCCUGGAGGCAGUGAAGGGCUGGAUGAGAGAUAAAAACCAGUGGAGGCUGAAUCCAGAAAAGACAGAGUAUUUCAGAUAAAAUUGAGAAGAUAGAAAGUCACAGGUUGACCAAGUGAAAGUUGCAGAAAGAAGGAUUUGAUUGUCCAACCCAACAAGCUACUUCUGUCUGGCAAGUUCUCUUCUUCCGAGUCUCGUCUCAAGCGCCAGACUUUGAUAGUGUUGUCAUCUGAACAUGUGGCAAUCUGAAAAAUGACAUUGGGAGUCAGCUGGGAAGUGGUGCAUCUCCCCCACAGUGGAGCAUACGUCUCCCCUGUGGGCAGUGAAAGGCUUGAAACUGGCACAGGCUACAGAGGAGAUGUGAAAGACCUAUUCGAACAUUACGUUGCACCUGCGUUCAGAUGUCUGUGCACUCGCACAUGCUUGUGUGUGAACGACUGUACUUCUGCUCCUUUUAAAAGCGAACCUGUACUACUGUAUGUGCAUUCAACAUAAUGUGAAUAACUGCACCUGCAUACAAAUCUGUACCUGUAUAUAGUGUACACAGAUGAUAGGGGUGUUGAACAUCAUGUCCAAGCAGGGUGAUAGCUUCCCUGCUAACUGGGCAAAGAGGACUCUUUCAGGUGAUCAUUCUUUUAUAUACCGCAGAGGGAGAGAGAGCAGCUGGAAAUGUACAUAUCAGGCAGUAUAAAAAUAUGAUAAACAGACAAUUUUUGUUGUUGUUGAGAAGCAGCAUAUACUCUUAAUACUCUUUUAGGUUCUCCCACACCACCAUUUUAUUCUUAAAACAACCCUGGGAGGCUGAGGGGAAGAGCGAGCGAGCGAGAGCACAACCGUCUCAUGCACACUCAGCAGGUUUCACAGCUGUGUAGGAAAAUGAAACCAGGCCUCCCCAGGUCUAACCACCACACCACUCUGGCUCUUCAAUGGAAGAUUAAAGCUAGUUAACUUACCAAAUAAUAAUAACUAGCCGACCCACACAGAGCAUCUGUGCACUCUUCGGGGCCGGCUGUUCUCCCCUCCCUCCUGCCCCAUUCUCCCUCCCUCCCCCCAAAUCUCUUUUGCCUGCCCUCCCCCCCCGCCUAACUCCACGGCUGGGCCCGCCGCCGCCUGGCCAGGCCCACCACUGCCAUGGCGACCAAUGCUCCAGGGUGCGCCUCAGCCACCCAACCAAUCAGCUGGGUGCCAGGAUGCACAUUCCAAGGUUCACCCAAGAGAAUUAAAUAUGUAGAUAAUCACAUGACUCAAGAUUACAGCCUGGUGAAAGGAGGAGCCCAGUUUCAAAACUGCUCUGAGCCAUUUUCGAAUGGCGCUAUCAAAAAACAAACAAACACCAAAAUAAAUAAAUAAAUAAAAUGAGGGGCAUUCUGGAACAAGCUCAUGCAACUCAGUAAUAAAACCAUCCUAAUACCAGCUGACAUUGAUAUUGUGUUUGAGUGUUCAUAGUGCCUCACAUAAUUAUCUCA